UACGUAGGGGGCAAGCGUUGUCCGGAUUUAUUGGGCGUAAAGCGCGUGUAGGCGGCCACGCAGGUCCGCUGUGAAAACUCGAGGCUCAACCUCGAGCUGUCGGUGGAAACCGCGUGGCUAGAGUCCGGAAGAGGGGACUGGAAUUCCCGGUGUAGCGGUGGAAUGCGCAGAUAUCGGGAGGAACACCCGUGGCGAAGGCGGGUCCCUGGGACGGUACUGACGCUGAGACGCGAAAGCGUGGGGAGCAAACAGG
RNAcentral lists this ribosomal RNA (253 nucleotides) under uncultured bacterium. Its description in RNAcentral is "partial 16S ribosomal RNA". It matches the Rfam family "Bacterial small subunit ribosomal RNA", at positions 524 to 776 of the family's 1533-position model. The record is from RNAcentral.